Molecule: ribosomal RNA, 292 nt
Filed under: uncultured bacterium
Lineage: Bacteria
Description: partial 16S ribosomal RNA
Rfam family: Bacterial small subunit ribosomal RNA
Source: RNAcentral
GUGCCAGCCGCCGCGGUAAUACGAAGGGGGCUAGCGUUGUUCGGAUUUACUGGGCGUAAAGCGCACGUAGGCGGUUUGUUAAGUGAGAGGUGAAAUCCCAGAGCUCAACUCUGGAACUGCCUUUCAUACUGGCAAGCUAGAGUCCGGAAGAGGUAAGUGGAACUCCUAGUGUAGAGGUGGAAUUCGUAGAUAUUAGGAAGAACACCAGUGGCGAAGGCGGCUUACUGGUCCGGAACUGACGCUGAGGUGCGAAAGCGUGGGGAGCAAACAGGAUUAGAUACCCGAGUAGUCC